RNAcentral lists this ribosomal RNA (655 nucleotides) under Salmonella enterica subsp. enterica serovar Heidelberg. RNAcentral's name for it is "partial 23S ribosomal RNA". It matches the Rfam family "Bacterial large subunit ribosomal RNA", at positions 2148 to 2802 of the family's 2925-position model. Lineage: Bacteria; Pseudomonadati; Pseudomonadota; Gammaproteobacteria; Enterobacterales; Enterobacteriaceae. The record is from RNAcentral. RNAcentral also lists the same sequence under 2 other names.
UGGGAGGCUUUGAAGUGUGGACGCCAGUCUGCAUGGAGCCGGCCUUGAAAUACCACCCUUUAAUGUUUGAUGUUCUAACGUGGACCCGUGAUCCGGGUUGCGGACAGUGUCUGGUGGGUAGUUUGACUGGGGCGGUCUCCUCCUAAAGAGUAACGGAGGAGCACGAAGGUUGGCUAAUCCUGGUCGGACAUCAGGAGGUUAGUGCAAUGGCAUAAGCCAGCUUGACUGCGAGCGUGACGGCGCGAGCAGGUGCGAAAGCAGGUCAUAGUGAUCCGGUGGUUCUGAAUGGAAGGGCCAUCGCUCAACGGAUAAAAGGUACUCCGGGGAUAACAGGCUGAUACCGCCCAAGAGUUCAUAUCGACGGCGGUGUUUGGCACCUCGAUGUCGGCUCAUCACAUCCUGGGGCUGAAGUAGGUCCCAAGGGUAUGGCUGUUCGCCAUUUAAAGUGGUACGCGAGCUGGGUUUAGAACGUCGUGAGACAGUUCGGUCCCUAUCUGCCGUGGGCGCUGGAGAACUGAGGGGGGCUGCUCCUAGUACGAGAGGACCGGAGUGGACGCAUCACUGGUGUUCGGGUUGUCAUGCCAAUGGCACUGCCCGGUAGCUAAAUGCGGAAGAGAUAAGUGCUGAAAGCAUCUAAGCACGAAACUUGCCCCGA